GUGGAGUGGGAAUAAAGAGCCAACAUAAUAUGGAGGGGGAAUCCCUAUAAAUCAACAUUCUUCAAUAGCUAAAAUGCUUGAUUUUCAUUAAAAAUAAGAUGGUUCCCUACCAAAAGAGACUAUAAUAUAAGUUAAUUUGUUU
This 142-nucleotide small RNA is filed under the name Enterococcus faecium. RNAcentral's name for it is "Listeria sRNA rli38". It matches the Rfam family "Listeria sRNA rli38". The record is from RNAcentral. Lineage: Bacteria; Bacillati; Bacillota; Bacilli; Lactobacillales; Enterococcaceae. RNAcentral also lists the same sequence under 1 other name.